This is a long non-coding RNA of Esox lucius (northern pike), 730 nucleotides long. NCBI's taxonomy places the organism in Eukaryota, Metazoa, Chordata, Actinopteri, Esociformes, Esocidae. The record is from Ensembl.
GACGCAUGUCAACUUGAAUAUGGAAUACUCGCACUGAAAUGAUAACUACAUUCAAGAGAAUUUUAGAAAGCACAAAAACAAUAAACCUUGAACAUUUUUCAAUAGUAGGCUAUACUUGCGCUUUCUUCUCAACCAACAGGACAACGGAGUCCUUGGAAAACCCCUAUCUGUAAUGUGUGACUGUAACUACUAAAUAUCACGAUGAUUAUGGAACGAACAGAGAAUAGGAGACUGCACAUACAAACAGGAGGGGAGGAGCCAGGUUGUCAAGGUGAAUGUAGACCACAGUAAAAAUCUACCCCUUACUACCAAACACGACACCGCGUCCGUGAUUGCUGCAGACAUCGUUAAUGAAAGCCGAUAACAAGGUAGCAGCGGUUCGCGACGAACGGACGCGUAGCAUCACUUACUAAAACUGUACGUUGUGGGGAUGGAGAACAAAUUAUUUGCGCUUAAAACGAAAACGUCGUGUCUGUUCUACGAUCAGGGCGCAAGAAGACGCACGAGCAAAGGUGUCAACAAAAACCACUCAUUCUAUUCAAUUCAGCAUAGCCUCUGGAUAUUUCCCAACCUUGUUGCCUGAUUAUGGAAACAGCACUGAGCUCUGUUUUUCUUAUGAGAUUCAUGUACUGUUCUGACCUGACCUCUCUGAUGUGUCAAAUGGAUCCUCACCCCCAUGAGGUCACCAUCAUAAUUUUGCUUUCGGAUCGGUGACCUACCAGACUGGUCC